GUUUACGGCCACACCGCCUGGUAUACGCUUGAUCUCGGAAGAUAAGAUAGGUUGGGCCUGGUUAGUACUUUGAUGGGAGACCGCCUGGGAAUACCAGGUGCUGUAAGCU
Scophthalmus maximus (turbot) is the source of this 109-nucleotide ribosomal RNA. NCBI's taxonomy places the organism in Eukaryota, Metazoa, Chordata, Actinopteri, Pleuronectiformes, Scophthalmidae. The record is from Ensembl.